UACAGAGGGGGCAAGCGUUAUUCGGAAUUAUUGGGCGUAAAGGGCGCGUAGGCGGUUUCUUAAGUGAGAUGUGUAAUCCCCGGGCUUAACCUGGGAACUGCAUCUCAUACUGGGAGGCUAGAGUACUGGAGAGGGUGGUAGAAUUCCACGUGUAGCGGUGAAAUGCGUAGAGAUGUGGAGGAAUACCAGUGGCGAAGGCGGCCACCUGGACAGUAACUGACGCUGAGGCGCGAAAGUGUGGGGAGCAAACAGG
This 253-nucleotide ribosomal RNA is filed under the name uncultured bacterium. RNAcentral's name for it is "partial 16S ribosomal RNA". It matches the Rfam family "Bacterial small subunit ribosomal RNA", at positions 524 to 776 of the family's 1533-position model. The record is from RNAcentral.